RNAcentral lists this long non-coding RNA (7147 nucleotides) under Canis lupus familiaris (dog). Its description in RNAcentral is "lncRNA (ENSCAFG00000051003.1)". Lineage: Eukaryota; Metazoa; Chordata; Mammalia; Carnivora; Canidae. The record is from RNAcentral.
AAAAAAAGAAGAGAAUCAGAAGGUAAUAAUAAUCACAAUAGUAAUUCAUAAUGAUUGAUAAAAGGACAUUAAUUUAGUAUUUACUCUGUUCCAAGCUAUGCUUUCUAAGCAUUUAACAUUUUUUCGGUAGUGUGCUAAAGCCAGCCAGUACCAGCUUGCAAAAGCUAAUUAUUCACAUGUCUUUCCAACUUUGAAUUCAGUAACCUCAGAUUGGUACCUUGAAAUUAGACAGGGGGAAUAUCUAAACCAUGGAAAUCAGCAGAUACUACAAAUCAGGACUUCUUACCCAGGGGAGCCAGUCAUUCAACCUCAACACAUCACAGGUAUUAAGCCAGACUUUUACAAGGCAGAAGAGUCACUAUUGGUUUCUUAAUGUAGAAUUCUGCAUUAUUUCAUCGAUAGGAAACCUAUGCUUGAAUAGAGAAAAGUGAAGGAAAAAUAGUGAAGAUUGCAAAAGUAAGGAAAGACUUGACUACAGCACAACUAGUCUGUGACAGCUGAAGGCUCUGGAAAUCUUUGCUUCCAUUACCUUCCCUCUGCCACAGGAGCUUCUGGAAAAAGACUGUAGCAUACUCUUCCACUGACCAUGCAAUCUCUAUCAUUCCUGACUUCUGCACAAAACAGAAUUAUGAACAGUUCAAUCACUUCACCUUAGCUUUUUGAGAGUCACUAUUUCUAAUGAGACAACAACACCCUUCCCAUCUAUAAGUAGGCACUUUGUAGACACAGACAAUCAGCUACUAAACCAUAACCUUGGGUAUGUUCAAAGGGAUACACGAGUGCUGAUGCAGUAAGGAAAAGGGUAGGCCAAGGGGAAGAGAGCCAGAAUAAGAAAAGAAAUUAAGAAUGGCACCUCAGGUAGGGUGAGUUCUGUAAGAACUGAGUUUCCACUUUAUUAAUAGGUUCCCUUGGUGAUUUGAAAUGAUAACAUGGUGUCUUUGUUUGUCACUCCUCCUUCCUUCCCUAAUAAUUCUCAGUAUAUCCCUGAGAGUAAUCUGUGCCAGUGCACAAAGGGAAAAUUAUGACAAGUUCCUUCUGUCAUAUCUUCACAAAAGGAUAAAAUGUCUACAUUUCUAGGGCUCCAAAGCAAAAGGUAAUUUCUAAUUCAAGCUUAUGCUUCCCUUAAGGGGAGAGCUGUCCAGUGAAUUAGAUAAUUUUUAAAAUUUGCUAGCAGAAAUACAAAUCCAAAAACUUGAAGGAAGAAAAUGAAAAGAAUAGCAAAUGGCAAAUUAUCUGUCAUAAACAACAACCACUGGGUCUUGAGAGGAGAAGAGGGGGGUGUACAGCUUAAUUAGGAAGUGUCCUCCCAGAAUACCAGUGGCAUCCCAGAUGCUCUACUUAGUUUGCCACGGGCCAUUGUUUUCCUCCAUAAAUUUAAAUUAGCAUCUGCAGCCACUCUCCUAGAAAUAAAGACUUGAGCUCUAUGCUUCAUUUUGAACAGCCACUGGUCUUGAACUAAAAUUAAAUCAUAAAUGGAGUAUUAUUUAAAGGUUGAUAAUUUUCAUGGAAUAUCACUUCAGCAAUGAAACUAAAACCCUUGAACAAAAUUCUGCUAUAUACCCAAGAGUGUCAUGAUUAGGUUCCAGUUUAAUAAAAUUGGCUAGCAUUUCAAAGUUUAAAUGCUUUCAGGCAGUUUUUUCAAGAGGAUAUUGUAAUCUAUACAAAAUUGAGCUUGAAGUGAUUAAACAAUACAACCUUGAGCUGAUGGAGGAGGGGCGGGACAGUGAUAGAAUUCCAAGGGAAGUGAAGUGUCAAGGUCCUGCCCAAAUUGGGGGAGAUGGAGAAAUUCUUUUCUUUCUUUCCAUUCUAACAUCAAAUAAGACGCAACUCCUCUGUCACAAAGGGGUUCUUAAAGCCUCAGCCCAAAGAAAACAUUGAUUGCACUGAGAAAAUUCAGUAGCCAGUAAAAUCACACAACCAGAAGCACACAUACUAGGGAGCAAUCCAAAGUGAUCACCUUGGUUAACAAAUUCUUUGUUAUACUUAUGACAUCUAGAAGCAUCUGUAGAUAUAUUUGUGAUGCAGUGGAAGGGUGUAGUUGGGAGGAGGUAAUCUUGUUAUCACACAAUCACAAACCUGCCAAGCCCCAGAGAUGGUGCAGACCACCUUUUCUAUUUCAGUCUACAGGUAUUGCCCCCAUUGCCACACCGAUGAUUCCUUGUAGUGCUUGGUUCCCAAAGAAGGCUAGACAUCCUGCAAAAUCUUCAGCUAAGAUGAACACUUAAAAUGUGAUAUCUUUGAUAUGUUAUUAUGGUUUUGUGGGGUAGGAGAGAAAAAAAUGGGAUCUUAAAAAAAAAAAAAAAUCCUACCCUAGGGAAGAUGAACUACCUAGAGGGAUCAAAGAGAACUUAACAGAAAGAUUCUACUUCAUUUUUGUAUUUCCUUCCCAUUUAAAGAUUUAGCCAACUCAGUAAUGUUCCUGGAGCAAGAAGCAAGCAUCUCAGCUCAGGGUAGACUGAGCUAAGAACAAUCAGCAGUGUUUACCUGACCAGCAUAUGCCAAACUUCUACACAGUCUAGAGACGUGAGCCUACCACAGAUGGCCCAGAUGUUCAUGUGAAUAAUUCUGGCAUCUUUCAGAAGCCCAACUAGGUAUCAACUGGAUUGGAUUUAUAGUUAAUAUCUGAUAAUAUCUAAUAUCUUAAAAAUAUAUUGUGUCAUAUACUGAGACCCUAAUGUCUUGCUCACUGAAUGUUUGGAAACAUAUGAAAAGUAGCUACUAUGGUCUCAGAGACUGAAGAAAGCUUUAGGGAUGCUGCAAUAGUUCUGGGCUUUAUGGAAACAGACCAGCCCAUUCUGCUAGAAACAGGACACCAGCAGAUCUUUUUUGUGAGUAUGCUAAGAUUGUUACAGAAGGAAGAUAACACCAAGAAGGAAGGUUACAAUCAGAUCCACAAAUGGUUGUGGCAGCAAUAAAUCAGUAAAUAGUUUGAGGAACCCAUGGAAUUUAUGACUAAUAAUCCUAGACAUUUAUGAUAGAUACAGAUAUACAGAUAAAGAUAGAUACUGAUAGAUAUAAAUGAUAUAGAGAUGCUAGAGAAUAUACAGAGAUAGAGGUAGGGAUGGGAGAAUUAUAUAUAUACACUCAAGGCCUGAUACAAAUAGAACUUAGACAAAAGUGUAACUACCGUUAUCAAUCAAUUAGUCAAGAAACAAUAUGAUGAGUCCACUACUUCUACCUCAGUUUCAUGUGCAGGGUAAAAGAAAGAAGUAUUCAUACACCAAUUGCUGUAUUUCCAUUAAUGAUAUCAUUUUUUAUCUUUCUUCCAAAAUAGCACUAGAGUGAUCUUUCUAAUCAUAAAACAGUCCCAUAAGGCCUUAUGAACUUUAGUUUCCUAUGUGUUAUUUAAUCUCAUAAUAACUCUGUGAGGAAAGCCGGCUACCAGGGCCAACAUAGUAGCAUGAAGAAGGAAGAGGAAGGUUGGGAAAGAAAGAAAGGAAGGGGAAAAAGAAAGCAAGGAGAGGAGGGGCUAACAGGAUGAGAGAAAGCUGCCUACUCAGCUCUUCCUGCCAUCAGUUAUCACUCUUCAGCCUACUAACAGUUCCUACCAUCUCCUAACAAGUAUUCCAAGGAUUUAGACCCACACAAUCCUUUAGACUCUCCAAUAAUAAUUGUUCUACAAAUGCUGAGAAGUGAUAUCAUCAUCACCAAACUUAGCUGUCACAUUUUUCAUAAACUCACACACAAAGCUGAGGAACUUCAGAGAAAACAACAGUAAGAGCAAGUGAAGCACAAAAUCAAGAAAGUGAAUUAAAAAGAAAGAAAGCACCAAGCACUCACUUUCCCUAUAGGCCUCAUAAUCUUUCUUCAUGAGGCAAUCUAACCAGGCAGUAAGCUUACAUUAAAAAUGGGGUGUGUAAAGAGUGAGUUCUUGGAGACCAGCCUAGAGAAGGGAAAUCCCUCCCAUUUUGUCCUCAGUUCAACUCCCAAGAUUCCCAGCCACACCAUGUGAGUCACACUGCAAUUGCCUAUGAUAUGCAUCUGCACGGAUGCCUUCUGCUUUAGCAGGGAUUUCAAGCUUCUGCCUGCCUAUAAUAAGGGGGAAAAUCAGUGCAACAAUGUGACCGGAUGCUGGAAAGCUGGCAGCCAGGGAAAACAGUAGUGCAUUUGGCUAAUUUUCUAUUUCAGGGCUUUUUACUGUUAAGAAAAUUGGCCUCUGUGGAUUAAGAGAAAUUCAACAUUUGCAUCCCUUUCUUCAAUUUGAUCUCUUUGUUUCCAUUUUAAUAUGUCGUGGGAAGUUUCCUGUGAAUAUGUAAACAAGCUUUGUGUUUAUUUUAAUCACUUUUUCCUCCUGUUUCCAGGCUCUAGACAACCCAAGCCCUCACUCAAAUUCUGCUGUUUCAAGUAGAAAACAACCAACUUGUAACCUAAGUCUCUCCUUUUUUAAGAGGAAGUGGUAGUGGGAUAAAGAAAAGGAUGGCAUUUCCUACAGCAGCUGAGACUCUUAUUAACUGGUUAAAGAACCAACUCCUCAAUAAAGAAUUAGUCGAAUGAACCAGUUGAAGAAAGAAAAGAAAUCUUUGCGCUAAUUUAUGGCUUUGGAACAUGAACAGCCACCCAAGAUUCUCUCCCUUUACAGUUAAUCUUGAAUAUCAUACUUCUACUUUGCUUCUCAGAGACUCAUCUUAAAAGUGUUGCCAUAUUUUGUGUUUCUAAGCCCUACAUCUGAUUUAUUAACCCACUGUAAUCUGUCUUUUGUCCUUACUACCUUACUGAAACUUAUAAAGACAGUGGUCAAAAUGACUGGCUUAUUGAUAAAUAGAGUGAAUGUUUCUUAGUGCUUAUUUUACUGGAUUUCUCCAUGGCAUUUGAAGACAAUGAACAUUGAGAAAUUUCUCUUCUUUUGCUUCCUGUGAUACCAUGCUCUCAUUCUCUUCCAUCUCAGAUCAGUUCUGUCUUCUCUGAAUUCUCUUCCCUGCUUCUCUUAAAAAUAGAUGUUCUUUGUGUUCUCUACCUCUUCGUUGAUGAUUUCAUUCCUUCUUAUGUGUUCAAUAUCACCUCUACAUGAUUUUCACAUCUGGAUCUCUAGCCUAGACUUUCUUCCUGCAUCCUUAUAUCUUCACCUACCUAUCUCAGUUGCUGCCAGCUGUGGCCAUUAAGGACAAUUCCAACUCAGCUCCUGCUGCCACACUCCUACCUCAACUGCCUGCUGUUGUGUGUCUUUCCAAGGUUUGCCCCCAGGACCUUCUAUAAUAUCAUGGGAGUUGGCCUGCCCACUUAAACCAGGGCAACUCACAAUGGGGUAGUCAGCAGGUAAAUGCUCCAGAGUCCUGUCUUUCAGAUAGGCUAAUUCUUGGAGGCAUUCCUUGUUCUCAAAAGUCCCUUUGUUGCCCAGAGCACUGGCCUUAAAGAAGUAUCCUUAUAUUGAAUCUUUCUCCUUCACUGUCUCACUUUUCCUACUUGGUCACUCAUGGUUUGUGGGAUCUUUCCCCAAGUAAACUACCUGUACCCAAGUUCUUAUUGCAGGUACUGCUUUUGGGGAAACCCAAAGGCAUUGGGUACCAGGAGUGGUCGUGGAAUUUAGACUUUCAAAAUGAGAUUUUACAGCUAGAUUGUCUCUAUUUAGAUGAUACAUAACCCAAUUACUGGUGGCAAACAGGAUGGUGAUAGGACUUACCAUGCUAUUGCAUUAAAUAACUGGGACUCUUACCCAUAAUGGAUGUGAUGAAGUAUAGAGGAAAGGAGAAGCAUUGUACAGAAUGAUAUGGGGCAGUGGUAAUUAAGGUUACCGAGUUGAAUGGCUUUUCUUAAAUGCCUUAAAAGCUUUGAAGUAAAAAAAAAAAAAAAAAAAAAAAAAAAAAAGGCUUUGAAGUAAUAGAAUAUGGAAUAAAAAUAAAAUACCAGGCUCAGAUCAUCUGUCAACUGAGUGCACACUGUGAAGAUCGUAAAGCUUCCACAGAAAGAUUCAAAAAGACCUUCAAUUCCUAUAAUCAGAGGGAUGUCUAUGGCAAAAGCCAAAUAUCUAAACCUUAUGGAAAGACAAGAUGUGCAGUAUUGAUAGGUCUCCUAAGCUGAAGACAUAGCCAUAAUAGAAAAGUAGUAGAAUCCUGAAACUUGAUACGGAGACAUUGGGUGGAUUCAUUUAGAAAGAGUGAAACUCCCAAGUUCUCUUGGAUCCUCCAAAAAGAGAGGAAUCUCCCUUACCUGAAGACCUUAUAAAGACCACAUCUGAGGCAAAUGCCUUGUAAGAUGAUGUUGCCUUCUCAAAACCCACUAUCACCUCCUCUUAUAGCUUACAAACCAAUAACGAAGGCUAUGACCCUGUAUUAAUUUAGGAGGGAAAUACAGUCCUUGCUCCAGAAGGAAAUAGCUUUUUUACUUUUUAUUUUUAUUUUUUACAGAAAAUGUAGUGCUUAUUUAUAUGUACUGUCAAGAAUUGGAAGAGUAUGUGUGGGAGUGGUUUUUAAGGAUUAAGAUGAGGAGGAAGUACAUAAACCUGGAUAGGAAGAUUUAUUAAUCUUGAAGUAUACUCUUCCAUGACUCAGGAUUUAAUGUCUCAGCAAGAAUACCUGGAUCCAGUCCUAACCCAAAGCUAGGAGGCGUCCAUGAAGCUCAGUCACAAUUUUAGCCUAUAGUAAUAAAGGUAGAGAUACUGGAACUGCCUUGGCAGAGUAUUGAAGAAGGAUUUGGAAGGCUCAGGGAAGUGUAAAAGAAAGAGAAAACUCAACCCAAUCACGUUUUGAAGGAUACUCCCUUUACUUAGACAAUAAGGAAUAAAUAGUUGAUGAAAUUCCAUUAUAUAUUUGAGAAUUUCAGUGAUAACUCUUCUUAGUAGGCCAGAGUAGGUAGUGAGAAAGUAUGCCAUGGUGGAACUCAUUUCCAUUGUGUCAACAGGGAGGACAGAAUUCAAAAAAAAUCAGAGACAAGGUUUUAGCACUUAAAUGGAAGGUAGAAGUGAUUACCAUAAUGGGCAUCCAAUCCAGAACAGCAAUCUGAGAACUUUGACCAUGGUUCCUAGGAGUGAGAGAGAUGGGUAAUUGACUGCAGACAAAAAUCAAAGGCUGGCACACAGAAGUCUGAUGUUAGCCUCCACUGUGGAAUAUCACAAUUAUUCAAACAACUUUAAUAUUAGAUCUUGUUCUCCCACAAAGAGCCAAUCAUUGAAGGAGGGGAAUGGUCCUCCUCAAAAAAAAAAAAAAAAAAAAAA